GGACGAGGGGGAAGUAAUCUGGCUUUGACAUCUGUCACUCCCUUGUCUGCAGGGCUGAUUUUAUCUGAUUAACUAGUUAGAAAUGUGUCACCUUCCUCCCUCACUGUUCCAUAUGUGGCCUGCCUCAAACUGUAAGGCAAAAGAGAUGAGCUUCUAAGCUCUAUCUGGACUCCUCUUUGGUCAAAGGUAUCUGAAUAGCUGAAUUAUUUUAAUAGAAAAUCUGAAUGUGGAAUUGCAGUUUAAAGCAGCCCAAAUACCUGUUUUCAUAGCUGAGGAGAGAUUCUAACAUGCAGAAUAUGUC
Molecule: small nuclear RNA, 301 nt
Filed under: Tursiops truncatus (common bottlenose dolphin)
Lineage: Eukaryota; Metazoa; Chordata; Mammalia; Artiodactyla; Delphinidae
Description: 7SK RNA (ENSTTRG00000024848.1)
Rfam family: 7SK RNA
About the family: 7SK was discovered as an abundant small nuclear RNA in the mid-70s but a possible function has only recently been suggested. Two independent studies have found that 7SK RNA binds the CDK9/cyclin T complex (known as elongation factor P-TEFb). P-TEFb activates transcription by phosphorylating the C-terminal domain of RNA polymerase II.
Source: RNAcentral